Molecule: long non-coding RNA, 21005 nt
Filed under: Capsicum annuum
Lineage: Eukaryota; Viridiplantae; Streptophyta; Magnoliopsida; Solanales; Solanaceae
Source: RNAcentral
AAUAUAAUUACAAUGCGCGAUUAUGAUGUUUCCAUCAUCAUCCAUGACUUUUAUUCGAUGUAGUUAUAUUUUUUGAAAAUAAAAAAAAUUAUAAAACAUAAAAUGUGAUUAAUAUAUUUAUGUUUUAUAUAAAUAUAAACUAUUGAAUAAAAAUGAAUAACAAAUGUGAAUCGAAUACAUUGAAAAUAAAUAAUAAUAUUAUAAAUUACGGCUAUAAAAGAUAAUUUUGUGACAACCGGUUGUUAUUUUUAAACUUCCGGAGAAAAUAUUAAAUUUACAUGAAAAAGGCAGCAUAAAGCUGCACAUAUUGGCUUGCCUGUCCACAAUAGAAAAUACAUGACAAAAGACAAACAGUUCCAACAUUGACAAUUAUUGCAUCCUAAUAAAUAGAGUAGAGUUUAUUCACGAUCAGGAAAUAGGAGAAGCAUCUGAAGGCUUGCUACGCAGGAGAGAUGAUGCUGGACGAUAGAGAUAGGAAUAAUGGGCUUACUUUAUUGGCCAGCAUCAUACUCCUGCAUAUUAAGCCUCAAAUGAUGCUAACAAAACUAAGUUAAUUACCAUGAUGGUUUAUAGAUAGUUGAGACAGAGAUCAUUUAUCUGUUUUGUUCAUAGACUAUAGUUUGCAGUUAAUUCACAUAGUUCAGCUAACAAUGUUAAUUGUUAGUUAACAGGUUCUUUCUAUUUUGGAUGCAGAUGACAGACUUGGAUCGACACUUCGCCGAACAUGGGUAUUGAAAAGCUUAACAAUUUGUAGGUUCCCAAUUGUAAAGUGAUUUCUGCUCUACUUUGUCUGAUGAAUGGGCUCUUCUAUUUUUUUUUUUUUUUUUUUUUUUUUUUUUUUUUUUUUUUCAUAAAAGCUCAUGUUAAGUAUUGCUGCUUUGCAGAAUGAUUUGAUUCAUCAAAUGACAAUUGUAUGAAAAGCAAACGACCUGGACCUCCAAAGGACGUCGGCAGCUGGUAGAGAAGUUCAUUUUUUCCUCUUCAAAACACAAGAAAAUGCGGACCUAGAUCUCUAAAGGACUAGAAUACAAAACACAUAAGCUUCAAAUCCUAACUCCGUCUUUACGGUCAGAGUAGAACUGGGCAGAGAGUUUCAAGUAUAAGGUGAGGUUGAUUCAUCUAAGAAAAGAGUUUCAACAACAUAAAUAUCACAAGCCAACUAUAAAUAAGCAAGCAAGAAGGAUAAACCAGAGAAGGCGCAAAAUAGGCAAACAUACUUGGUAUCUCAAGGAAUAUUGUGUAAGAAGAUAUAAGGAAAUAGGAACUAUCAUAUCCAACCACAGCUGCAGAAUUUGUUAUUUUCCUUUUGCAAGUGUAACUGAUCAUCAUCAUUUCUUUCUUUUUUGGAUUUCAGCAAGUUCAGUUCCAAGUUUCUAUGGCUUCUGUCCUGAAGCAUAUUAUCAAAUUGUUUAGGACAGUGAAGUAUAUGGAAGUUCAGAUGAAGGCACUGAGAACAGAGGAUUCUACUGACAAUGCAUCCCCUGAGCAAAAAAUAAAGAUAGUUCAAGAAAAUUUAAUCAAGUCAGAAGCAUGUCAAUUUGGGUUUGAUUUGAAUUUAUCCCAUCCAAUUGCAAGAAGUGAUUCCUCAUGUGAAACAUUUAUUUGUUUAGUUCAUUAAAAAAAUAUGAAAUUAUUGUGUCCAAACACACAUGUAUGUAUAUAUAAUCGUACAAGUAAUAUAAGAUUUUUAUGUUCGGAUAUAGUAUCCACAGGGACUUGUCGAUAAACUAUUUUACUAAAUUAGACUAAGGCCUCAUUUGUUUGCACUUAAUGGAGGUCUGAAUCUGAAUGAUUCAGACUUCAGAUCAUUAAGUGCAUUUGUUUUUUAUUAAGAUUUUAGUUUUUAAUAGGUCUUAAUUAUUCAAAUUUGAAACUAAGUCUUAAUCAUUAGGAGGUAUUCUUGUAUUGGAUAAUAUUCACCACAUUCUCUCCACAAUAAUCCAUCACCACUAGUAACCACCUCUGCCAUCCCACCAUUGUCAACCACCACCUUGCCACCAACCACCACCACCACCACCACCAACCACCUCCACCAUCACAACCACCAUUUACUAUCAUAAUUGCUACUAACCACUAUUUUCAGCCGCUACCAUAUCUACCACUUUCAUUAUUUUAAUUAUAUCUGUCUCUAUCACCAUCAUCAACGCCAACGCCAAUGCCAACACCACCAUCAUCAACAUUAUCAACCAAUUCCAACUACUAGACAACUUAUUUAUCACAAUUAGCUCCAUCACUAACUACUACUGACACAUCAUCAACAUCCACACAUUCUUCGACCACCGUCACCGAUGUCGCCACCUCUACCACUGCUUCAACCACCAUCACUACUAUAGUAUAUCUCUACUAAUAAUCAUCUCCACCAUCACAGCUAACGGCAUCUCAAACUACCACCAUUACAUCGUUAACCAUCAUGCAUUCAUUAAGCUAUCACAAUCAACACCUUCAACUACUAACAUCAACCAACUUCACAUCACUACCACCACCACUACCAAUCGCUACCAUCAUAGCAAUCACUACAAUAUCAAACAUCUCUGUCAUCACAACUAUCAUCACCAAUAUUAUUAAUCACUAACAUCAAUAAUUACCACCACCGCCACCGUUACAAACCAUCUCCAUUAUCACUAACAAAUAUAAAUAUUUUUUCCAAUGAAAUAAAAAUUUUAUUUUAUUAAAUCAAAUAUUUUUCUAAUAUAUAAUUAUAUUUUAUAUAAAUUAUAUUUUUUUAUUAUAUAUGCAAAUAAAUAAAUUUUGCAUAUUCAGAUAUUGAAAAACAAAUAGUCUUGCCCAUUCAGAUUUCAGAUCUGAAGACAACAUCUUAAUCAUUCAGAUAUGCAUUCAGAUUUAGAUGUCUAAAUCUUAAUAAAAACAAAUGUAGCCUGAUGCUAAUUAUUUAUUCAAGAAGUAAAUCUCAAAAGAUGUAUUUAUGUCAUGACACAAUUUACGAGUCAUGAUGACACCUACUUUAUCCUACCGGUAGGUAAGCCAAACUAUAGCCGGAGCUAGAAACAAUAGGCUAAUUUGAUGGAAAAAGGCAUAAAAGCCAGAAAUUUACAAGUAAAGACUUACAACAAUAAUUCAAAUAAUACUGAUAGUUUGAAAGAUAGAUAAAAUAGAAAUAACAUUCCACGACCUAGUAGAGUCAAUAGAAGAGCCACUAACAAAAAGAAACAUAGGAACUGUAAUAGUCAAAUACAAAUUAGUCUCGAAUAAUGAAAGAUUAGAUAUAGAUAGUAGAAGAAAAAAGGGGGCAACUCCAACCCCGAAAGCUCACCCUAUCUCCGAACUCAACUCAACACGAUCUCGGCGUCAACGGCAACCACUAGUACUUGAAUCUGCAUAAAAAAGGUAUAGAAGUGUAAUAUAAAUACCAAAGUCGCGGGUACUAAUUAGGCAUCAUUGGCCGACUGAGCUAAAUAAUAAUAUGAGUACAAUAAUAUGCAAGAUAAAUAGCUAAGUCAAGGUAAAAAGGUAAACCAGAAAUAAUGGUUCAAUACUGUAAGUAAACAACCGAAACAAAUAUAAUAUAGAUGAAAGCAUAAGUAAUACUAAAAGACUGGCUCCCAUAUGACAGUAAAUGCAAAAAAGUAAAUAACUCAACGCGAGCCCCCAUAAGUCUGGAGGGUGUAAUCAAAGAUAACUAGUAAUUGAAAAUAUACUAAGUAACCGCAUCUCAAUACAUAACUAAGAAUCCUUCCAUACCAUAAACCUUGGAUUAAAACCAAUUCCGCAACCGUCAUAAACAACCCACCAAUGCUCGACUUGAAUCGAAACUCGUAAUCAAAUGUCGAACUUGAAUCGAAACUCGUAUAAUCAAAUGUCGAACUUGAAUCGAAACUCAUAUCAUGAAUACUGUCAGAAUUGAACCAAUCGGUCUUAAGAUCAUAAACCGCCAGAUUGGAAUCAAAAUUAGUAUCAACUCCCAAGUACCAAACUAGCAUAAGUAUAAAGGAUCUUGUCUCUACAAACUCUAAAAUAUGAGAUUUUAAAGUAUAAUAAGCCCAAUGAAUCUAGAAUGAGCUAACAAGAGUCUUGACCUAAGGUGGGCGAGAGGGACCCAAUUUUGAUCUCCGAAAUUUAUUUUAAGACAAAUUCUACUCUGGGCUAGGGUAAGGUAUCUAAGUUCACUUCUAGAUGUUAAGUAAACCACAAUUAGAUCUAAGAUAGCAAUUCUACCUAAACAUGCAAAAUUAGUCAAUUACGCCUAAUUUAUGGUUACAUAAUAGGCUAAAAGUUCCAAUAUACUAAUUAUUCCUCUAAGACCUAAUUACCAAUCCAUACCUAACACAUUAUCAUAAAUAUACUACGAGUAAGCUCAAUCAACAAGAAAGGUAAACUUACCCUAUCUCGACACAGAAGAAUGCCCGGUGAAAAUGGCUAAAUCAAUGAAUUUUCCUUUCGAAGAGCUUCCAUAAGAUGUCACGCUAUCAAAGUCAUAAUUUACUUAUCAAAACAAGAACAAUGUUACCCAUAUUGUAUUUUUGUACUUUGGAUCUAAAAUUACAUACAAAUUUCAAGUGGAGUUCGCUUUCGGAAUUGCACUUUCAAAAUCGUCGACGCCAUUUUCUAUGCUCAAGAAAUAUUUACCCUCAAGAAUGGGUGAAUUCCAAGCUCAAAUGGUACUACAAUCAACCCAUCAAUAUUCUAGGAAUUUUGAGAAUUUAUAGAGGAAUUAUCCAUGAUGAAAUUGAUGAGAACUUAUCAAGAAUUUGAAAAAAAAAAGAAAUUCAAGCUUACGAACAUCCCAAAAUCUCCUAUUAAUACCUGCUCACUCUUGUCAGGCCGCUAAAACUGACAAACUGGCACCAAAGGGGCUUGCUCUUUAGCGGCCAACUUGCCGCUAAAGCGGCACACGUUGAGCUCGUAGGCUCGCUAAAGCGCCUAAGGGCCACUAAAGCGUCCAAAGGGUCGCUUUAGCGAUCACAGUAGUUGCAUACACUAGCUGGAGACUUGGAAUUUUUCUGACUCUCCGCUGACCUCUCGAGAUUCAUUUGAAAUCUCAUAUAAGCAAACAAACUAUUCUACCCUAUCAAAUUCAACAUUCUGGCUCAAUGGCGCAAUCAAAAUUUUCACACGAGGUCGUUUCGAUAAAAAAUGAAUCCCACACCCAAGUGUCAUUUUUUUUAACUUUCGAUCAAUAACCCGUAAUGAGUCUGAAAACCUCGAAACCAAACCAAGGGGCUACCUAAUCUAAAAUCGAUGUUUUGGAGCUAUUGGAACUAUCAGAUUUAGAAUACGAGGUCAUUUGAUUGAAGUUUUUGCCCAGUAGCCAAUUCUGACCAGCAAAGACUUCAAAACAGAGAAUUGUCUCUAAAAACCAAAUGAAUUACCCGAUAACUAAAUUGUUAGCUCCAGUUCCCUCUAGUUUAUAUAUACUAGAUACAUUAAAAUAGUAAAUAUUAAUAUAAUAUUACUAUAAUGAUUUAACUAAAUAACCAAUCAUUACUGAGUAACAUGAGUCAACUAAUAAUAUUUAUCGACAUCAAUAUAAAUUAAAUUAAUUAAUUAAUAUAAAAAUAUUAUAUAUAUAUAUAUAUAUAUAUAUAUAUAAUAUACAAACAUAAUAUUAAAAUUAUUAACAUGUUGAUGGUUGAGAAAAAUUAAGAUCUGGCCUUUUAAGAAUUUGAUCAAAUAUUGUAGCUUCAUUUGUUAUCUUUUUUUUUUAAUACAUUUUUACUGUUGUGUCAAAAUUUUACUAAAAAUAAGCAACCCUUCUAUUCACGUAUGUAUACUAUGCAUCGUAACAAAUAUAUCACUUUUUAUAAAUUAUUUUUUAAAAAGUUAAAUAUUUAAGAGAAAAUAUUUACAAGUGUUGUCAAAAUACCAUAUGGUCUUGCAACGUGAUUUGUUGGUCAUUUGUUGUCACUAAAAAUUUAAAAUAAAGAGUUAUAUAUUCUUUGAUUAUCAUUGUUAAUGAUAUUUUUGAUUUUGUUUAUAGAAAAAGGGUGUGAACUAAAAUAAUAAUAUAUAAAUUAUAAAAUAAAUAAUUUAUGGUGAAAAAAUAAAUUAUAAAAUUUUAAAUUCAAACUUACGAAAUAUAUAUAUAUAUAUAUAUAUAUAUAUAUAUCAUUGAAAAAAUAGUUUUCUGCUUCUGUUUCUUUCCAACAACAAAAAACUGCUUCUACUUCUAUUUUAAAAACACUUUAGAAGUUAGAUAAACCCCUAUCUUUUAAAAAAAAUGCUUGUUUUUGUCCAAAAAAAAUAAUUUUUCUCAAAAAAAGCAAUUUCAAACUGGUUCAAAAUCUAAUGUUUAUGUAUACUUUAAAUUUAUAUUUUUCAGUGUUAUACCUCAUCCACAAAUUCUCCCUCUUCUUGGUCAGAUUCUCAAAAGAAAAUAACUGACCCUUUUUCAAGUUUAUGUCGCGAAAUAUGAGUGAACAAAGUAAUACCUAAGUUUUGUGAGUGAAACUUGAAGAACCCAAUUUCAACAUAAGAAUUUUAAUACAAGUUUUGCAUCAAGUAAGCAUCACAAAAAAUAUGACAACAAAGGAAAUAGUGAUUGAAGCUAACAUCGAUAAAGAAUUCAAUGGUACAAGAAAUUUUCUACAUGUGUUAAAUUUUUAAUUUUUUGGAUGCUACUACAGUAUUACAGGUCUUUUAUUUUUUAUUUCUUGAUAUUUCAUAUAUUAAAAUGUAUAAUAUAUAUCACAAAGUUUAACCUUUCUCACAAAAAUAGUUCCUGAUAUGCCUAUCUAAACUACUUGGGAUAUAUUGUUUGAAAGUCUUAAUUGUUAUGUUUGUAAUGUAAUAAGGGAUAUAUUAUUUGAAAUUUUAGUCUAGACUUUAUGAUAAAUACUUUAUUUUGUGAAAGUAAAUUUAUAUCGAAAAUUUAUGUGGACAUACAGAAAAUGAUAAUUAUUAAUUAACCUAGGAAAUUCAGUUCCUUUGUAAAUACAUUUUCGAUAAUCAAUAACCAGAUUUUGAGACUAGCUUGCCAUAACAUGCUCUAUGGUAAAUAUAUAACAAUAUUAUAUCUAUAAUCGAUCUGUGAAAUUAGCUUGUCAUUAUUCAGCAGAAUAAUAUAUAACAACAUUAUAUUAAUGUUAAUACAUAUUAUGAAGGAUAUCUUACUCUUAGCUUUUUUGAAAUAAUAUUUUGGUUCCUUUUGAACGGAUUUGAACAUAGACAUAAUAUAAGUAGUAUAUAUCCUCUAAUUUAAUUCAAUUCAAUUAGCAUUUGUAGUUGAUUUAACAGAAAUCAUAUUCAUGAUAUGAUUUUGAUCAAUUAAAUUGCCCAAGUCAUUCUGCAGUCUACCUCAAUAUUGUCUUAAAAAAAUAUUUAAGAAGCUGCUCAAAUUUUUUUUUUUUACAAUAACAAAUGGCUAAUAUUAUUCAAAAUAUUGUAUAAAUAUGAUAAUGAGAAGAUAUUCAAAUAAAAAAUCCUCAUAUCUUUCUGUUAAUAAUUUGGAUUAAAAAAAAUUCUCUAAUCCCAAUAAGUAAUUUUAUAAAUUCAUCAAUAAAUUUGGAGUCUUAUUAUAUAUAACACAAAGUCUUACGGUAAAUUAAUACGAAUAAAAAACUUUUCUUUCAUAUGGGGUGGUCUUAUAAACGGUAUUGGAUCAAAUGAUUUAAAUUUAUAAUUAAUAAUAAAUAAUUAAAUAAUUUAUAUCAUCAAGAAAAUAAAUAAUAUUUUAGGAUUUUCUUCUCGAACACUUUUUGCAUAUGGGCAGAUGCGUAUACUAGUAAAGAUUAAAAAGUUAAAAAUUAAUAAAAAUUAAUCUAAUCUAAUCUAAAGAAUAAAAUAAAAAUCUUUUUGUGUUUUUAAAUUUUUCAAUUUUUCUUCUUUACUUAACGCAAACAACUAAAAAAGAUAAAUUUUAUAGCAUACUUCAUUUUGAACAAAUAUUGAAAGACAUUCCACCUCACACUUAAAUCAUAAUUUGUCUCCAAAGAAAUAAAUAAAGUAAAACAAGGAUUAAAGAUACUCUUUGAGGCCCUAGCAACUUUUUUCUCCAAUUCCAUCAAGGGUGACGUGCAUCCCAUGCUUAAACUUAAACGUGCUUCUUAGAUUCAAAUUUUGGAGACUCAGACUUUCUCUAAAUUUGCAAAAGUAAAAACGACACCAAAUGUAACACUAAAAUAAAACUGCUUACCAUGCGUUGGGUUACCUCUAAACAAGCGCCUAAUUUAACGUCACAACAUGACACAUCAAAUUUUUCCUCCACCUUGAGGAUAUAAAUUUCAUCCCAAACAUCACAUUCAUCUUUUUUUGGUUCGCUCAUAGGGUGGUGGUACAAAGAUGAGGGAACCAUGUAAUGGAUGGUACAUGUUAAAUAGGUUGACCUUGAAGUGAGACAUGUUUUUGUGUUGCUUGUAUGGUGCAAAUUUAAGAAUAUAGAAUUCUUGUUCCUCAUCUUCACACUUUUCUACCAUAUUAGAUGACUCCAAAGACAUGUCAUCAUCUAAACAUAAUGUACAAAAGUUCUUUGAAUGGGACAUAACACAUCUUACUUUCAAACUAACACCAUUUACAACUUGCUUACUUUUACAUACUUUCAUAAUGUCAGACUCAAGUAAAGAGUGGUUUUUCUUCCUUCUCCACAGACUGGCCAAUAUCCAUAACUAUAGGUGAUUUGACAUCAAACGUCUCAAUCUUUUGAUUCAGUUGGGCCUCCAAGUCACGGACAUCUGAGUCAAAUUAUCUCUUGUAUGGGUUCAUCUCCCCUCUUACUUAUUUGGGUUGACAUGGUUGUGAGACUAUCCGGAAAGAAUUCGUAAGAUUUGACUUGUUGGUCUUGUUCCAUUAGCCAAUUUUCGUCUACUUCCCUUCCAACAUCACAAACAAUAGACUGACUAUAAUAGGGGUCCAAGGAAGGGGAAUAAAAGUUGGGGCAGGCCUUUCAAUGACCAUCCAGACCACCGCAUAUAUUGCACGCAUCCAAUUCAGCAGAUUGAGUAAGUGCACACCACUCGCUUUAUUGAAAAUUAUAAUAAAUACCCUCUCAGUGGAUUCCUCUGCAAAAAUAAUAAAAAUCAUCAUCAUUGGACUACCAUCUAUCCCAAGCUGACAUAUUAAUAAGAGUGAUAAAAAAGUAAAAGAAACUAAAAAGAUAAUUGUGUACAAUGAUUGAAAAGUAGAAGGAACUAAAAAGAUAACUGUGUACAAAAAAUAAACUAAUAAUUAACACCGAAGUCUCCAGCAACAACAUCAAAACUUAUUGCGUUCAAACACGCACGCAAGUGUACAUGAUCGUGCAAGUAAUAUAGAAUUUUUAGGUCCGAAUAUCAUACUCAAUAGGAACUUUUCGAUUAACUAUUUUAUUAAAUUAGACUAAUGCUAAUUAUUUAUUCAAGAAAUAAAUUUCAAAAGAUGUAUUUAUGAAUUAAUAAAAUUAAAAAUUAAAAUAAAAUAACUAAUGAUUAAUUAACCAAAAAAAGAACGGAGUCUUACACAAUCAAUGAAUAAAUAGAUCUAGUAUAAUGGUUUUGAUAACAAUCAUGUUUAGAAUCAUUUCAUCAACUUAUUCGAUCAUCUAGUUAUCGAUUUACGGUAUUGAUUUUAUAAUUCGAGAAUGGUCAUCCUCUAGUCGUCUAUUCGAAAUAGUCUCACAACUAGGGGUGGUCACGGUAUGGUAUAUACCGAAUUGCCAUAUCAAAUCAAAAGUUUUGACACCUUAAUUUUGAUAGUAUGGUAUUUGGUAUGGUUUAUGAUAUACAUUUUAAUUUUUUUUGAUAUAUAGUACGGUAUUCCAUAUAAAUGAUACACCGAAAUAUCGAAGUAUAUAGUUACAUAAAUAACUUCUAUAUAUAUAUAAUAAAAAUAACAAAUAUACUACUUAGUAUUAGUAUAAAAAUGUUUGGAUAUUGAAAUUUUUGCUACUCUAUCUUAAUUGUAGGAUCUUUUUUGUGUAAUUGACUAACAAAAAGAGUUGUUUGUAAUUCUUUUUUAAUAUUUCUACAUGUGUAAUGUGUAUUUAUGAAACAAUUGAGACGUACUUUAGAAAAAUUAAAGUAAUAAUACUCUAUUAUACGAGUAUAUCUUAUCGAAGUUGAACAAACUAUCAUUACCGAUUAUCAUACUGCAAAAUACCGAAAUCAAGCAUCAAAAUACCGAAUCAUAUCGAAUUAAUAUGGUAUGGUAAUGGUAUAAUGCUUUUAAAAAUCGAAUACCAAAAUUACCUUAUCGAAGUUUCAACUACCUUACCAUACCAUACCAUGCCUACCCCUACUCACAAUUAUAUCAUUGAGCGGAGCUAUGAGAAGCUAAUUCCAACACAUUUAUUUAAUUUUUCAUUUUGUAACCAAGUAAGGUGAUCUAGUGUAAUGACCCUUCCAAUCACUUUUCAUAUUUUGCUUAAAUUCACAGUUAGGGCUUCUCCAUAGUUGUCCUAAGUCAUUUAUGACUAGUUGGGGAUAAUAGAUCGGUUACCGAACUGUUUGUUUGUUUUUUAGAACCAAUUCCAUAUUUAAAAGUCUUCGUUGGUUCCAAAUGGCCAUCGGGUGAAAACUUCAGUAAGACAGUCUAGGAUGCAAAUUCUGAAUACGCCAGCAGCUCCGGAAUAUCAAUGUUAGGCUAGGUCGACUUUUGGUUCGGGUCCCAAUGCAUCUGAGCUUAUUUUGACUUAUUGGUCAAAAAGUUGAAAAAUUAUCAAUAUGAGUGUGGGGCCCAUAUUUGAUCUAAAUGACAUCAGAUGGAAAAUUCAACUUUUUCAUCAGAUUUGAAACGUCGAUUUUAGGCUAGGGGAACCCUAGGUUCAGGUCCCAAGGCUUUUAGAGUUAUUUUGGGCUAUUAGCAUAUUUUAGGAAAAAUAAAACUAUAGGUGUGGGCUCCACUUUUUGCCGAAAUGAUCUCAGAUAAAAAUUUUGAUGAUUCCAUUAGAUCUAAAAUAUGGUUUACACUCAAAUUUCACUAUUGGAUCAUAUUCUUUCUGUCACGACUUGAACUAGGGCCUAGCCGUGACGGACAUCUCAAGUCCACCGAAGACCGAAGACCGAAGACCACCCCCUUAGCCUAACCCAACAGAAUCAAGUACACCUACCAGUGGAUGAAUUCCAACAUAAACCAAGAUAUGAUGAGAAAACUCAAGGAACCUAUGAUAGAUCAAUAUCUAACAACCACCAACCAAUAACUAGUGCCGAUGACCAACCUACUACCCAUGUCCACAGUAAUGUCCAAAAAAGCCUCUACCAAAACUUAAAGAUAGUCUGGUCGGGACAUGCUCCCGAUCAUAGCCAAAAAUAAAUCUAAAAGAGAGUCUAUACAUAAGAAAACCCAAAACAUGAAAAUGAGUCUUCCAAAAGAUGGAAGCUCACCACUUCAGUCUGACUAACGAGUUGUCCCCCAAUAACCUAGUCACUGUGCAAGAGGAGUAGAAGUAUGGACAGUCCCUGCAUCACGUGGGGAUACAAUGUUUGAAGGCGGUUAGUGGUUGGACACUAGCAUGCAACUCAGGGAUAUAGAAUAAAAUAAUGCCAUGAACCAUAAUACAGAAACCACUAAAACCAGUGCACAACAUCAUAUGCAAUACAUAUAUAUCACAUGCCUGGAUAGGGAACAGGGUUUAGCAUGACCCUUAAAACCUUAACCUGGACUGUAUAGCCUGGUCGUCCUAAACCGGCACCCAUGGGCUAUAUAGGUUCAGCUUUCCCUACUGAAAGGGCACUAGUGCAUGUUAGUUGCACGAACCGGAGAAAACUCGAGGGAAAGCUAAAGCCAUCAAGGCAACUAUCCAUCCCAAAAUAUAUAUCACUUGUGACUCAUGCAUACGACCAUCAAGAACAAACCUCACGUCGGUAAAUAUGAGUUUCCAGUAUCAGUCCCCCCGGGAGAUCCACCUUCACGACUUUGCUACACAACCCUCUUUAAUCUUAUAAUAAAAUAAUUAACAUAUAACCCAACCACUAAUUCCAGGAGUCAAUUAUUAAGGUGUCAUUAAGUGGUAUCAUCAUACCGACUAUAGCUUAAAAGCAAUGCCAUCAGUCAACCCUUUGGAAAUUCCUUUGUACCCCCGAAUCCUUUAUUAAAACCCACUUGGAGGAUCCCAUUACACCCCACAAGGUUUUCAAAACCAUCCUUAACUAUUUUUUCAUUUAUGCAAUGCAUUAGUUUUAAGGAAAUAAAUCAAGCCAAAUGAUAAUUCAUAUUCCAAAAUCAAUCAUGUAAGUGGGUCGAGGUUAUUAUAAAUUUCCAUACCAAACCAAUUAUUUGGGGGAAUCCAUUAUACCCCUAAAUUCAUUCAACAUUCCUAUGCACCCAAAUGAGUGUCCAAACCAACAAUUCAUGCAUAAUAAAUCAAUAGCAACCAUGGAAAAACAUUCAAAUAAUUUAUAUCCAAAAUCUUCAACCCAUAGUUCAAAACCCAAUAUCCAAACAAUGAAUAAUAAACCAAUUUUCAUGCCAUUAAUAAAAUACAAGUAUAGGUAAAGAGGUACAUGCCUUAGACAUACGAGAAUUGAAAAGUAAUUUGGAACUUGGAACCCAGAAGAUGAACGUACGAUAAAUUCCUUAGUCUAUCUUGGAGUUUUGAGUUGGAGAGUAGAAUCGAGGAUUUUUAAUCUCUUAAAACUAAAAGGAAUAUGCUAUAUAACUCUUAAGGGUCGUAUAUAGGUGAAAGGACCUCAAUACCCCUUAUUCCAAAUAAAUAAAACAAAAUUGCACAGAUCUUACAUAGGGGUGUGGCACAGACCUUAUCGUGGAGGCUAACCUCUGUACUGCAGAACCUAAUACGAAGAUUAUCCUCCGUGUCAUGAAUUCUAUCAUAGAAAUUGUCCUUCGUGACACGAGGAUAAAAUGGAGGCUCACUGCCUCCGUGGACCAAAACAAUCUCGAACCCCAUUUAAAAAUUCUGGAACUCUCCUAAGAUAUCCUAACAAUAUAUCUUAACACAAUUCAAGUUAAAAAUCGAUGUUUCAAAUACGGUAGGGACAAAAAUAUAAUUCUCAGAAUUAAGAGGGGUUACAUUAUCCCCCCUUAGGAUCAUUCAUCCCCGAAUGAUGAGCUAGGAUACUUUUCGUAUGAGAAUAGCAAAAUUAUACUAGAAUCAAAUGAUAAACCUGGAUAAUAACAAGGAACAAUAAAAUUCAUACCUUAAGAUUCUUCUCCCGAUGCAUGGAACAAGAAUAGGUACCUAGCCUUCAUAUCUUCCUUUGCUUCUCAAGUGGCCUCUUCCACUUUAUGAUUCUUCCAAAGGACCUUUACCAAAGCUACAUCUUUAGUCCUCAAUCUAUAAACUUGCCUAUCCAAGAUCUUCACCGGGACCUCCUCGUAUGACAGGGAAUUCGAAAUACCAACACUCACAAGAGGCACCAUCAAUGAAGGAUCACCCACACACUUCUUCAACAAAGACACAUGAAACACAGGGUGAAUAAAACCAAAACUUGUAGGUAAUUCUAUCUCAUAGGCAAUAUUCCCCACUUUUUUCAAAAUCAAAUAGGGGACAAUGUCAUAGGGACCGAGCUUCCCCUUCUUUCCAAAUUACAUCACUACCUUCGUGGGAGACACCUUUAAGAAUACCCAAUCACCCACAUCAAAGUUCAACUCUUUUUACCUCACAUCUGCAUAGGACUUUUGGUAACUUUAGGAAGUCUUAAGCCUAUCUCGAAUCACCUUCACCUUCUCCAUAACUUAAUGAACUGAAUCAGGAUCGAAUAACCUUGCCUCACUAACUUCGAACCACCCAUUAGGAGAUCUACACCUCCUACCAUAAAAUGCCUUAAACGGGGCCAUCGUUAUGCUAGAGUGAUAGGUAUUAUUGUAUGCAAACUCCAUAAGAGACAUAUGGUCAACCGAACUACCACCAAAGUCAAUUACACAAGCUCAAAGCAUAUCUUCCAAAGUCUAAAUAGUCCUUUCCACUUGUCCAUCCUUCUGCGGGUGGAAAAUGGUGCUAAGGUUCACCUUAGUCCCCAAACCUCGCAGGAAUGACCACCAAAAAUAAGAUGAGAACUGAGUACCACAAUUUGAAAUGAUGAAAACUGAAGCACCAUGCAACUUACCGAUCUCCUGAAUAAAUAAACUUGCAUAGUCCUCAGCAGAAUAGUUACUCUUUACCAAAAGGAAGUGAGCAAACUUAGUCAUCCUAUCCACAAUGACCCAAAUAGAAUCAAACUGGUUUCGAGACUAUUGAAGGCCAGUAAAAAAUCCAUAUUAAUUACUUCCCACUUCCACACAGGCAACUCAAUUUCUUGAGAUAACCUACUGGGCCUCAAGUGCUCAACCUUCACUAGUUGAUACACCAUGUACUUAGCCAUACAAUCAAGCACAUCCAUCUUCAUGUUAUUCCACCAAUAAAUGUCAUUAAGGUCAUGACACAUCUUCUUCAAAUGAGGAUGAACGAAAUAACGCGAGUCAUGAGCUUCAGCCAAAAUUCUACCUUGCAGCCCAUCCACAUUGGGAACACACAACCUCCAUUGGUACCUCAAGAUACCAUUUCCACCAAUCUCGAAAACCAUUAUCUUCUGCCUACCUACAUUAUUUUUUAUUUGCAUCAAGAUAGGAUCUAACACCUGCUUUGCUUUUACCUCAGUGCCAAGAGAAAACUUUGCCACCUCUUGAACAAAUAUAUUACUAUCCUUAAAAUCUAAGAGACAAACUCUAAGAUUAGCCAAAUAGUAAAUAUCCUUAAUCAAAUCCCGCUUCUUUUUAUCCACACGGGAUAAAAUCCUCAUAGAUAACCUGCUAAGAGCAUCAUAAACCACGUAAGCCUUACCUGGGUGAUAGUGAAUACUCAUGUCAUAGUCCUUGAGUAACUCGAGCAAUCUUCUUUGGCUGAGAUUCAACUCCUUCUAAGUGAAUAUAUAUUGAAAGCUCUUAUGAUCUGAAUAAAUGUCAACAUGGACUCUAUAUAAAUAAUAUCUCCAAAUCUGUAAUGUGAAUACUACAGCCAGCAAUGCCAAAUCAUGAGUCAGAUAAUUUUUCUCAUGAACUUUCAACAGCCUAGAAACAUAUGCUACCACCUUGACAUGCUUCAUUAAUACACAAACAAGCCCCACACAUGAUGUAUUACAAUAAACCAGGAAGCCAUUAGUAUCCUCGAGUAGGGUCAAACCAGAGCAGAAGUCAAUUUAUUUUUCAACUUCUCAAAACUCCCCUCACAAGCAUCGGACCACAGAAACUUCACCUUUUUGCUGUGUCAACUUAGUCAAAGGUAUGGAAAUCGAUGAGAAGCUCUCCACAAACCUCCUAAAAUAACCAGCUAAACCCAAGAAGCUCUGAAUAUCAGUUAGAGUCAUGGGUCUAGGCCACUUCUUAACCACCAUAAAUUUUUGUGGAUCUACCAUAAUUCCUUCACUAGAAACAACAUGACCCAGAAAAGUAACAACAUUCAACUAAAAUUUACACUUUGAAAACUUAACAUACAAUCGCUAAUACUUUAAGGUAUGCAACAUAAUACAGAGGUGAUUUGCAUGAUCCACCUCACUCUUUGAAUAUACCAAAAUAUUAUCUAUAAACACAAUCACAAACAAAUCCAACAACUGGUGGAAUACCCGAUUCAUGAGAUACAUAAAUGCCUCUAGGGCAUUAGUCAGCCCAAAAUCCAUAACCAAGAACUCAAAAUGUCCAUAUCGGGUAUAAAAGGCAGUCUUAGGGAUAUCUUCCUCCCUAAUAUUUAACUGAUGAUAACCCUAUCGAAGGUCAAUCUUAGAGAAAUUCUUAGCACCCUAAAGUUGGUCAAAUAGGUCAUCAAUCCUAGAAAGGGGAUACUUAUUCUUCACCAUCGCCUUAUUCAAUGGGUAGUAAUAAAUACACAUCCGAAGAGAACCAUCCUUCUUAUGCAUGAAAAGAAUGAGAGCACCCAAUAAAGAUGUACUAAGGCUGAUAAAACCUUUAUCAAGAAGAUAUUUCAACUACUUCUUAAGUUCUUUCAACUCAUCCAAAGCCAUUCUAUAAGGAGAGAUACACAUAGGACGAGUGUCCGAAAGAAGAUCAAUCCCAAACUUAAUUUCCCUAUCGGAAGGGACACGAGGAAGAUCAUUAGGGAGAACCUUAAGAAUUUCACUAACCAUAGGAACAGAUUAUAAAGAAUGACCCUCUGAGUUAUAAUCUUUAACCCUGACCAAAUGAUAAAGACACCCCUUGGAAAUCAAUUUCCAGGCUCUAAGAUAUAGAUAUGAACCUUUCCUUAGGCACUAGGGAACUCUCUUCCCACUCAAUGAUCAUCUCAUUAGGGAAUUUAACAAUGACCUUAUGGGUCUGACAGUUUAAAGAGGCAUAGCACGAAUACAACCAAUCCAUCCCUAAGAUGACAUCAAAAUCUAGCAUGUCUAAUUCAAUCGAGUCAACUAAAGUUUUUAAAAAACCUCAAAUUUUGGUCCUUGAAAAAUUCUUGAGCUUUGAGCUCACUGCCUCUACUACGACCCAUUUUACGAAUCAUAAUAUAUCUUUAUGGGUCAUAGGACAUAGUCGUAAUGAGCCCAUACGGAUUUGUCUAAGUCAUCGCUUUGAUAAUGACUGGACUUAAUGAGUCUUAUAGACUCCUAACAAGUCAUAAGGAGGGUAUUUCAUAAUGUAUCCAGUGUAGUGCCGCUAUGGACUAUUGAGACUAUGAGUUAACCCUAUGAGUCAUAGUUCUUAUUAUGAAAUGUAAGGUUCCAGUCCUAGGGUUCAUAAAGAAGAUCCAAGGAUGUUUUGGUUUGGCUAUAACUGGAGGGUCUGAGUUGUAAGGUGACCCUAUGAGUCGUGAGGUCACCCGUAAUGACUGACAAUUUAAUUUCUAGCUUUUAAUAAGGGUAUUUUAGAUAUUUCCCCUCUUGUCCUAAACAUAACCCACAACCUAUAAAUCAUAUUGAGAAUUUAUUCUCACCCAUAACACUAUCAAAAUAUAUCCUCUUCUCUCUGAAAUUCUCUUAAGACAAACAAGCUAGGGUUUCUUUAACGUUGAGCAUCCAAGGGUCAAUCUAAGGUUUCUUCUCCAUAUUUAUGAAUAUUUUAGGCAUGUUACUCUUUCCUUAUUGUUAAUUUAUUAAAAGCAUGUAUUUUAAAGUAUUGUUCAUGAGAUGUUUAUGACAGUUUUGAAACUAGGGUUGGGGGUUUUGAAUGCUCAUUGUUGAAUAAUGUUUUCCCAUGGUUUAUAUAUGAUUAAUCAUGCUUUGAAUAUGAUUUUGAACUUGCGGGUGCAUGGGGAUGGUUGUUAAACUAAAAGGUUAUGGUUAACCUUAAUUUGAUGAUAUUUGCCUUGAUUUGAUUUUGGAAAUUGUAUGCCCUUAACAUGUUUGUGAAAUUAUUAAUGAAAAGGCUUUUGCCACAUAGUUUAGUUUACCCACUUGUAAUAAUGCAUAGGCAUAAAAAAUAUAAUAAAGUAUGCAUGUUUUUCUUGAAAGGCCUUGGUGGCCAUGUAUAAAUGGUAGAAUUAGAACCUUGUGGGUUCGGUUGAUUAAAUGGGUUCAAGUCCUAAAUGAUUGAUUAUUUGAACAGUUUUUGACCUACGGGUCUGAGUCCCAGUUAGAGGAGUAGAUGAUAUGGAAUGAUGAUAUUAGCUUGCAAGUGAGGUUGGUAUGACAAUACCAACAAGAUGCCUUGGUGUGUAAUUAGUUUAAUUAAAAUGGGAAUAUGUGUUAAAUAUUUUAAUUGGGAUUUGAAAGAGGGUUGUGUAACUGAGUCGUGAAAGUUAAGGUCUGAGUAACCGAUACUGAAAAUCAUGCUAGCCGGUGUGUGGGUCAUUAUAGCUUGAGAGUUCGAGUCCCCUUGCUUGUGACUAGGUGGUUCGAGUUCACCCUAUUAAUAUUAUUAUGAUUGGAGAGUUUGAGUCUCCCAAAUCAUAUUUCAUGAUCUGGUUCUUAAGUUAUCUUAGUAGAUGAUUGGAGGGUUGAGUCCCCCGUGCAUAUAUAUAUGAUCUUCCUUUGAUUUGGGUGGAUACACGUACUGGGGCUCGACCAGGGGGUAAGAGUUGGGGCCCAUAUAGCCUGUGGGUACUAUUAUAUGACGAUUGAGCUACAGGCCCAGGCUAAAGUUUCAAAGUGAACGUUUAGCCUUGUUCCCUAUCUCGGCAUGUGAUAUAUAUAUAUAUGUAUGUAUCUAAAUGUAUUUGAUUAUGUGUAUUGGAUUUUGAAUGAGUUUGAAAUUUUCGAUCAUGGCAUUAUGUUAUCCUUAUCCCUAAGUUACAUACUAGUGUUCACCCUGCUAACCAUUUUUGGAUGUCGUAUCCCCAUGCGGUGAAGGAAUUGGCUAUACUUCUACUUCUACUGCAUAGUGAUUUAGAUUUAGGGUCAGUUCGUGAGUUGACAUUGAGAUGGUGAGCUUUCAUACAUCGAAAAUCUACAUUUCAUGUUUUAGUCUCUUAUGUCUCAGACUGUUUAGACUUAUUUUUGGCUAUAGUCGGGGGCAUGUUUUAACACUUUAUUGAUGUCCAAUUUUUGGUAAAGGCUUUGUUGGAUUACGGUGGACUUGGGUGAUGUUGGUCGGUUGUUGGUUAUUGAUUAUAGAAGUAUUUUUUAUUCUUUGAAAUUUUUAUCUUAUUACAUAUUUGGAAUUUAUCCGACAGGGGCGAUAUUGUGGUGGUUGGUUAGGUGCAAUGGAGUGAUCUGUGAUCUCCGGUUAUCAGCGGACCUGAGAUAUCCACAUGGCUAGGCCCUGUUUUGGUUCAUGACAAAGUAGUAUCACAGCCUAGGUUUGGUGUCAUUGGGUGUCCAAUAAAACGGUGUCAAGUAGAGUCUCUAUUAUAGGUGUGUAGCGUGCCACACUUAUAAGGGAGAGGCUAUAAGGCAUUUAGGAAUAUUUCCCUUUCUUGUGAUCUAUUCUUCAGGCUAUAGAGUCUAAGUUCAUGAAACCUCAUCUUAUUCUCGUAUGUUUACUUUUUAGAUUAUGUCUCUCAGAUAAUUUGAUAUUCAUGGAAACUCUUUUAUCCGUCUAAGGACAAUGUGAAUGAAACUUGUCCAACCCCUGAGGUGCAAACCUGGUCUAGGGUCGUUUCUUCUGAUCGUCCUAAUAGAGUUCCACUAUUUACCCUUAGUCCUCCUCGAACACCUCAAGACAAAGUGUCCAAUGUUGAGUUUCGCCGUUCUAUUUAUCUGUUGACCCAAAUAGUAGUCUCUCUGUCAUGUCAGUCUGGUCUUAUUAAAGGGAGAUGAAAUUAGACAAAUAUAGGGGAGAGAUAGAGCAAUAAGUUCAUAUAUUCAGAGCAAGAUAGGGGCUUUCACAAUAGUGGUAGACAUGGAAGACAGUGUACUACGGGAGGGUCAAGGAAAAUUCUGGUUCAUACCCGUUAGCUAGAUCCCCUAACCUAAAGUCGUCUGAUAAUUGUCAUUUUCAAAAAAAGGUGUAGGUCCUAGGGAACAGGGUGCCCAGUAUUAGUAUAGUAGAGCCCAGUUAGUCCCUCCCUAUCCUCUUUGCCAAUUUUAUAGUCAGUGGUAUCGUGGGUUUCAUCGUGAUGGAAAGAACUGAUGCUUCAAGUGUGGUCAACCCGGUCAUAUGCAUUGUCCUUCGAUCAGUAUUGCCACUGGAUCCAAUAAGAUUCUAGAUGCUAGAUCUUCAAUUCUCACACCAAGGAGUGCUACUUCUAAUACCAUCACUGACCAAAAUUAUCUUUAUACUCUUGCUACUCACCAGGAGUCUGAGGCAUCACCAGAUGUUGUUGAUGGUAUGUUACAACUCUUUCUUGGGUGUCCAAUAAAACGGUGUCAAGUAGAGUCUCUAUUAUAGGUGUGUAGCGUGCCACACUUAUAAGGGAGAGGCUAUAAGGCAUUUAGGAAUAUUUCCCUUUCUUGUGAUCUAUUCUUCAGGCUAUAGAGUCUAAGUUCAUGAAACCUCAUCUUAUUCUCGUAUGUUUACUUUUUAGAUUAUGUCUCUCAGAUAAUUUGAUAUUCAUGGAAACUCUUUUAUCCGUCUAAGGACAAUGUGAAUGAAACUUGUCCAACCCCUGAGGUGCAAACCUGGUCUAGGGUCGUUUCUUCUGAUCGUCCUAAUAGAGUUCCACUAUUUACCCUUAGUCCUCCUCGAACACCUCAAGACAAAGUGUCCAAUGUUGAGUUUCGCCGUUCUAUUUAUCUGUUGACCCAAAUAGUAGUCUCUCUGUCAUGUCAGUCUGGUCUUAUUAAAGGGAGAUGAAAUUAGACAAAUAUAGGGGAGAGAUAGAGCAAUAAGUUCAUAUAUUCAGAGCAAGAUAGGGGCUUUCACAAUAGUGGUAGACAUGGAAGACAGUGUACUACGGGAGGGUCAAGGAAAAUUCUGGUUCAUACCCGUUAGCUAGAUCCCCUAACCUAAAGUCGUCUGAUAAUUGUCAUUUUCAAAAAAAGGUGUAGGUCCUAGGGAACAGGGUGCCCAGUAUUAGUAUAGUAGAGCCCAGUUAGUCCCUCCCUAUCCUCUUUGCCAAUUUUAUAGUCAGUGGUAUCGUGGGUUUCAUCGUGAUGGAAAGAACUGAUGCUUCAAGUGUGGUCAACCCGGUCAUAUGCAUUGUCCUUCGAUCAGUAUUGCCACUGGAUCCAAUAAGAUUCUAGAUGCUAGAUCUUCAAUUCUCACACCAAGGAGUGCUACUUCUAAUACCAUCACUGACCAAAAUUAUCUUUAUACUCUUGCUACUCACCAGGAGUCUGAGGCAUCACCAGAUGUUGUUGAUGGUAUGUUACACCUCUUUCCCCAUGAUGUGUAUCGCUUUCUUAAUUUGGGGUGUACUCUCUCUUAUCUGAUCCCUUAUGUGGCUGUUCACUUUGGUUUUGAUCCUGAGUGUAUUCUGGAUUUUUUUUUGUAUCCAUCCUGGCGGGUGACUUUAUUAUGGCUAAAAGGGUCUAUAGGGGUUGUGUGAUAUCGGUCCAUGGUAGGGAGACCUAGGUGGAUCUAAUAGAGUUGGGCAUGAUAGACUUUGAUAUGAUUUUUGGAUUGGUUGCAUUCAUUGUCGGACCCGUAGGGUCAUUUUCAUUUAACAAAUGAGUUAGUGAUUGAAUAAACUGACUGACCUCUGCUUACCUGAGAUUGGGUACCCUGUGCCUAGAAAUAAUCACCACCUUGAUGACGCCUGUCACGCGCCUGGUAAUGAGCACUUGCAGAAGAGUAGGAACCAAAACUCCCACACUUCUUUUUCUUUUAUUUACCAUCAUCCCUACCACCCUGAUACUGAGCACCUCUCUAGUAAAAAAAAA